This is a long non-coding RNA of Lampris incognitus (smalleye Pacific opah), 224 nucleotides long. RefSeq lists it as uncharacterized. The transcript has 3 exons. Lineage: Eukaryota; Metazoa; Chordata; Actinopteri; Lampriformes; Lampridae. The record is from RefSeq and is a predicted model, not a curated record.
CACAAAUCUGCCGCCCUCCACUCACUUGCCCUCUGACCAUUCCCAGUCAACCACUACAGUUCAGUCAUUGGCUGUAGCUGAGGGUGUGUUAUCAAAUAUGCCUGCUUCUGUCUCAUCACCUGAUGUAUAUCAAUCACAGACAACAGAAGCUACCACUGCUUUGUCACCCCUGAAGUCUAUAAAGAGUGUUGAAACGGUUGGGACGGUGGCAGUGGGCGUUCCCC